RNAcentral lists this non-coding RNA (29 nucleotides) under Rattus norvegicus (Norway rat). Lineage: Eukaryota; Metazoa; Chordata; Mammalia; Rodentia; Muridae. The record is from RNAcentral.
UGUCUAUGUAAUGCAUGGUAUGGGGCAGC